Molecule: ribosomal RNA, 440 nt
Filed under: uncultured bacterium
Lineage: Bacteria
Description: partial 16S ribosomal RNA
Rfam family: Bacterial small subunit ribosomal RNA
Source: RNAcentral
CUACGGGCUGCUGCAGUAGGGAAUUUUCCACAAUGGGGGCAACCCUGAUGGAGCAACGCCGCGUGCAGGAUGAAGGCUCUCGGGUCGUAAACUGCUUUUCUCUGUGAUGAUUAUGACAGUAGCAGAGGAAUAAGGAUCGGCUAACUCCGUGCCAGCAGCCGCGGUCAUACGGAGGAUCCAAGCGUUAUCCGGAAUUACUGGGCGUAAAGAGUUGCGUAGGCGGUCUUGUAAGCAGGGCAUGAAAUAGUGUGGCUCAACCAUACUGCUAUGUUCUGAACUGCAAGACUAGAGGAUGAGAGAGGUUAUUGGAAUUCCCAGUGUAGGAGUGAAAUCCGUAGAUAUUGGGAGGAACACCGAUGGCGUAGGCAGAUAACUGGCUCAUUCCUGACGCUCAGGCACGAAAGCGUGGGGAGCAAACGGGAUUAGAUACCCCGGUAGUC